AGAUAAAAGUCCUAGUGGGGCUGGGAGAGCACACUCUUUCUUCUGGUGGGGAUUUUGACAGCAGCAAGCAAAUGCGUCAGGCUUCUGCCUGGUGAUUUUUCUGAACAAACGAAAACUGGGAGCCAUGCCUUAGUGAGGGCAGGGUCUGCACUACCUGCCCACUCAGUCCUCCGAGGUGGCCAGCAGCAUUGUUCAUGCAUUACUUUCAACUUGGCAGGCCCCCAUGCUGAGCACAGCACAUGGCCUCUAAUCGUGUGCGUCCCUCCUUUGGACUCUCUUGAGCUUCUCCAUAUCCUUCCUGAAGUGUGGCAUCCAGAACUGGACAAAGUACUCCAAUUGCGGUAUCACCAAGGAUGAGCAGAAUGAGAGGAUGACAUCUUGAGCCUUGCUUGAGAUGCCUCGGUAGAUGCAUACCAGUGUUUGAUUAGCUCUGCCAGCUACAGCAUCGCAUUGGUGGCUCAUGUUCAUUUUGUUGUCCAUCACAACACCCAGGUCUCAUUCACUUGUGGUGCUGAGCCUGUAAAUGUGUUAUGGAUUUUUUCUCCCCGGAUGAAGUACUUUACAUUUCUCCAUAUUAAAUGACAUCAGGUAGAGGCCUGCCAACCAUCUUUUGAGCUAAGUCAACUUAACUAAUGUGAUUCAAGAUAAUACAUCUCAGACGUGUAUUAUCUUACACUGUAUUUAAGUUGACUCUGCUCCACAUACUGCCUGCUAGUUAAGUUGACUUAAAAAAGCUAAGUUGGCUUAACUGUCAGAAAGUUAGUAUAUGUGUACUAUGAUUGCCAAUAUGCCUUGCUUUUCAUAAGACUGCCUGGCUCUCUGCUUGCUGCUGUUUGUGCUCCUGCAAGCCACAAGGCAGGGGGAGAGGCAACAACCUCAGGUGAAUAUUUUUCAUGUUGUGCCUUUGCACUGCUCCUGGUUAAAAAGGACCCUCAAGUGCUGAAUCUUCUUUCAGUCCUUAAAGUGGCAACUAGGAAGGCUGAGGGGAGCAGCUACCUGCCACCAACUUAACCCAAUUCCCUUGGAAUCCAGUAGACUUAUUCAUUUGGAAGUGGAAGCACAGGGCAAAAGUAGCAGAUGACAACACUCAGGGCCAGGUUUCCCAAGGAAGCCAGGAUGCCUAGUGCAUGUGCUGUGCAGGAACUCUGGCCAUCAGCUUCCUAGGAAAAUGUAAAAGAGGAGAGGAAAUUAGGCAAAAGAGGAGACAGAGACCUAGUAUUGCUGCAGAAAAGACCUGGGGGAUUCUGCUGAAAGAGAAACAAACAGAAGCAGCCAAGCUUGAGGGGGAGGAGAAGCAAACUGGGUUAAGGGUUUUGGAAAAGACCUCAGUCAGUGAUUGGUGCCAGAGUUCACAGCAAACAAAGAGAAAUAUUUUCCUAUUCAGUUUGGGCCAAAUUCUUCUCAAAACCUAGUCUUCAAUUUCUGAGACACACGCUCAUCACUUCUAACAUGGCUGAACGAUGUCACCUACAGGCUGGCCAGAGCUAUUCGCCACAAAGUGCAAGCAGCCAAAAGCAGCACUGUGAUGGUUUUCGCUUUCAGCCACAGCACAAGCAUUAUGGAACACAACCAUCCUACUAUCCGGGAAAGUGCUAGAGAAGAAAGCCUGCUUGUUUAGAAAAGCUUAUGCGAGAGAUCCAAGACAGAUGCAGUCACAGCUGAAACUGCUGUUCUGAAAAGCACUUUGAUGUUGGACACAUUUUGUAUUCCAUGGAAAUAAAUAAUUCAUUUCUGCUCUAGAAAUAUGUAUUUCACUAUUGAAAAAUAACACUAUUUAUUUCCAGUAUGGGAAGUCACCCCCUGGGCGCUAUAAAUAUUUACAUAAAGCCAUGCAAAAAAUAUGCUGGUAAUUUAG
Long non-coding RNA from Alligator mississippiensis (American alligator), 1855 nucleotides. RefSeq lists it as uncharacterized. The record is from RefSeq and is a predicted model, not a curated record. The transcript is spliced from 3 exons. NCBI's taxonomy places the organism in Eukaryota, Metazoa, Chordata, Crocodylia, Alligatoridae.